This 465-nucleotide ribosomal RNA is filed under the name Vreelandella stevensii. RNAcentral's name for it is "partial 16S ribosomal RNA". It matches the Rfam family "Bacterial small subunit ribosomal RNA", at positions 338 to 795 of the family's 1533-position model. The record is from RNAcentral. Lineage: Bacteria; Pseudomonadati; Pseudomonadota; Gammaproteobacteria; Oceanospirillales; Halomonadaceae.
CCUACGGGUGGCAGCAGUGGGGAAUAUUGGACAAUGGGAGGAACCCUGAUCCAGCCAUGCCGCGUGUGUGAAGAAGGCCCUCGGGUUGUAAAGCACUUUCAGUGAGGAAGAACGCCUGGUGGUUAAUACCCAUCAGGAAAGACAUCACUCACAGAAGAAGCACCGGCUAACUCCGUGCCAGCAGCCGCGGUAAUACGGAGGGUGCGAGCGUUAAUCGGAAUUACUGGGCGUAAAGCGCGCGUAGGUGGCUUGAUAAGCCGGUUGUGAAAGCCCCGGGCUCAACCUGGGAACGGCAUCCGGAACUGUCAAGCUAGAGUGCAGGAGAGGAAGGUAGAAUUCCCGGUGUAGCGGUGAAAUGCGUAGAGAUCGGGAGGAAUACCAGUGGCGAAGGCGGCCUUCUGGACUGACACUGACACUGAGGUGCGAAAGCGUGGGUAGCAAACAGGAUUAGAUACCCCGGUAGUC